Molecule: long non-coding RNA, 1639 nt
Organism: Temnothorax curvispinosus
Lineage: Eukaryota; Metazoa; Arthropoda; Insecta; Hymenoptera; Formicidae
Exons: 4
Source: RefSeq, a predicted model, not a curated record
AUUAUGCGUGCGAGUUAAGUGCGAUCGGGAUGCUAUCAAUAAUCAUCUUGUAUCCGUUUGUGUGAGGGUAUUUUUGGAAAAAAAAGAAAGCUUUCCUCCUGCGAAGAGUUUAAAAAGCUUACGCUAGCUGACGAGAAACAGGAUCUCGUGGAUAAUUUUAUAGAGAAGGUCCACGUGGAAAUGGACAACGAUCCGAUUUGGCAAUCGGCAAGCGUCAACCAGUUAGAUUUGGCGAGAGUUGUAGUGGAAAGAACCGUCAUGGCACGGGUAUACCACAAUACGCUCUAUCUAAAUAAAGAUGGAGAUGUAUAUAGGGACCAGCUUUUUCACGGUCAUAUCAAUAAGUUGGCAAAAGUCGUAACUUCAAAUCACAGGGACCUACGCAUUUCAAAAGUUUAUCAUUACGAAUGCCCCUAGUCAUGGGCGCAGGCUGAAUUGGCUGUGAUAUCGGUGUAUAAGACUCCUAGGGAUAAGUUGCAGUGUGUAUUUUGUUGCGCGACUACCAUCAUGAAUCUCUUUUCCAUGGCGUCGGAAAGAGGCAUACCUGCUGCCGACGAUCUGACUCCCGUGUCUACAGACUAAUCUGCCGUCGUUGUAUCGACUGUUCAAUAUGUAGACAGCUUUUACGGGAAUCGAUUGGAGGGAGAAGAACAAUAUUGGUGGACGCAGUUCUGCGCCGCGAUCGAGUUAAGACAAUGGAUUAACAGUUUCUCAAGAGUAUCACGAUAAAUAAGAUUAGAUUCGAUGCUGGUGAUAAUGUAGAAAUGUAUCAUAAUCAUAAUUUGACGAUUUCAUAAAGAAGAAGACCAAUAUCUUGUGUAAAGCUAGCUGAACAGUUUUAUGCUUCCAGUAUCAAUUAAAAUUCUUAAAUAGCCUCUUAAAUAGUCUAAUUGUUAGUUCUUUCGCACGUUAUUAUGUAACAUUAGCAAAGACUGAAUUAGAUUAUACGUAAAGUGUGGCUUUAUCUUUAUUUGUAACUCUAUUGUACAAUAUGUCACAGGACAUCGAAAAAAAAGAAACGUUUAGAUAUUCUAUAAUUUAUGUACAAUACAGAACUUAUAGAGAAUUGAUAACCAUGAUUUAGCAGGAUAAACUGUGUUGGCGUACUCUUUCUACAUGCGCACCUUCCUCAAGAGCCGAGACUCGAACCAGAUCCGUGAAAAAUAUCGCCAAUUUCGUAGAGCUUUUGUACAGUUUUACUCUAGGAAUAUCGCGAGAGAAAGAAAGACUUCGGAGAUUUUUAUCUGAAUCGAUCAACAUAAAGAGAGAGCAUAGUAAAGAAGCUAUUAGCUUUCGAGAAUUUGAACGCAUAAUACUUUGUUAUAAUACUAUGAGCGAAUUAGUUUACGUCACUCUGUCAAGUUUUAAUAUUAAAUUACUAAUAAUAUAUCGAUAUCGGUAGUUUAAUAAUAAUACAUUUAAAAGCGCUCAAUUUAAAAGUAGGGCAAUCCUAAUAAACGACUGUAAAAAAAAUUCAAGGUGGAACGCAAUGGACAAUCCGGUUGCUCUGACAUGCUAACUUAAAUGGCAAAAAGUACUUCUCAGCGGUAAUGACAUUUGAGUCUCUUUUAAUUGGGUUGUGGCAGGGCGUUUGAGAUAACCUGCUCUUCACCCUGCACAGCUGACGGACCUUCGGGAA